Molecule: ribosomal RNA, 274 nt
Filed under: uncultured bacterium
Lineage: Bacteria
Description: partial 16S ribosomal RNA
Rfam family: Bacterial small subunit ribosomal RNA
Source: RNAcentral
AUACGGAGGGUGCAAGCGUUAAUCGGAAUUACUGGGCGUAAAGCGCGCGUAGGCGGCUUGUUAAGUCGGAUGUGAAAGCCCCGGGCUCAACCUGGGAAUUGCAUUCGAUACUGGCAGGCUAGAGUAUGGUAGAGGGAAGCGGAAUUCCGGGUGUAGCGGUGAAAUGCGUAGAUAUCCGGAGGAACACCAGUGGCGAAGGCGGCUUUCUGGACCAAUACUGACGCUGAGGUGCGAAAGCGUGGGGAGCAAACAGGAUUAGAUACCCCAGUAGUCC